GAUUAACGCUGGCGGCGUGCUUAACACAUGCAAGUCGAACGAUGAAGCCGGAGCUUGCUCUGGUGAAUUAGUGGCGAACGGGUGAGUAACACGUGAGUAACCUGCCCUUGACUCUGGGAUAACUGCUAGAAAUGGUAGCUAAUACCGGAUACGACCCUCGGAGGCAUCUCCAGGGGGUGGAAAGAAUUUCGGUCAAGGAUGGACUCGCGGCCUAUCAGCUAGUUGGUGAGGGAACGGCCCACCAAGGCGACGACGGGUAGCCGGCCUGAGAGGGUGACCGGCCACACUGGGACUGAGACACGGCCCAGACUCCUACGGGAGGCAGCAGUGGGGAAUAUUGCACAAUGGGCGCAAGCCUGAUGCAGCAACGCCGCGUGAGGGAUGCCGGCCUUCGGGUUGUAAACCUCUUUUAGUAGGGAAGAAGCGAAAGUGACGGUACCUGCAGAAAAAGCACCGGCUAACUACGUGCCAGCAGCCGCCGUAA
This 484-nucleotide ribosomal RNA is filed under the name uncultured bacterium. Its description in RNAcentral is "partial 16S ribosomal RNA". It matches the Rfam family "Bacterial small subunit ribosomal RNA", at positions 28 to 523 of the family's 1533-position model. The record is from RNAcentral.